AACCUACGGGAGGCAGCAGUCGGGAAUAUUGCGCAAUGGAGGAAACUCUGACGCAGUGACGCCGCGUAUAGGAAGAAGGUUUUCGGAUUGUAAACUAUUGUCGUUAGGGAAGAUACAAGACAGUACCUAAGGAGGAAGCCCCGGCUAACUAUGUGCCAGCAGCCGCGGUAAUACAUAGGGGGCAAGCGUUAUCCGGAUUUAUUGGGUGUAAAGGGUGCGUAGACGGAGAAACAAGUUGGUUGUGAAAUCCGCAGGCUCAACCUGCGAACUGCAUUUGAAACUGUUUCCCUUGAGUAUCGGAGAGG
This 305-nucleotide ribosomal RNA is filed under the name uncultured bacterium. Its description in RNAcentral is "bacterial SSU rRNA". It matches the Rfam family "Bacterial small subunit ribosomal RNA", at positions 335 to 657 of the family's 1533-position model. The record is from RNAcentral.